UCAACCAUUGAUAAUGCUAUCACACAAUCAGAACCUGGAGCUUCACCAUUUACCCUCCAAUUCUCUUCAACAUCUGAUAUGAAUAAUGUAUUAUGAGCCUUGAGAAGCAACCCUUCAGCCGGCCCAGUGUUAUAAAUUUAUGGCUCAUUCAGGUGUUCCAGGGACUGCUGUAUUUUGAAGACAUGGGCUAUUUCAAAACACCUGUGAGUGAGUUUUGGAACCGAUCACAACUUUCAGCACUGAAAGAAAGAGUCCGUCCAAAAACGACACUCAGCAGGGCUGAAAAUAGUCAUUCUUCACACUGUCGCUAAUCGCAGCAGGGCAAAAGCAGGAUUUGUGAUUCUUUAGGUGCACUUGAUUGAACUUUCCCGGCAGUGUAGAAACACAACCGAAAGAAGGUAAAUCAAGCGCUCCUUGAUAUUUGGGAAACAUUUGUGCCCAGGACUGCCACACAUGCACAACUCUGUUACAGUGGUUUGCAGCCAAAGAUACAAAUAUACAAUAUAAUAUUGUAUAAUCUAGGAUCACUAUGUUUGCAGCUAUUCAGUACCUCUCUCUUCCAUGACCUGGAAGUAGAAUGUAUAUAUAUAUGUAUAUAUAAAUAUGACUCUCCCGUAAGCCGGAAGAAUUCAGUGUUUCACUCUACACACAGUUUGCAAGCAUACAGCAAAGAUCAGCUGCUUUGCACGUCAAACCCUCUCAUUGCUGGAUGAUUUUCAGUGCAGCAUGCAAGUAAAAAUGUGCACAAUAUUAAAAGUCUUUAGCUUCAUCAUCCAAAUCACAUGUAAUCACCCUCAUCGUCAUCAUCAUAUCCAUUUCACCAUGGACGUCUUAAACCUUUUUUUUUCCCCAUAAGGUGAUUGUUUCAAUAAGAAAUUAGAGCAGACUUUAUUAUUUAGUAUAUUUUCCUCUAUAUUAUUCUGCAUUUCAAAGCAUGCCAAAGAAAUGUUCAGUUUCUGCAUAGUGCUGGCUAUACGAGUGCCAAAGAGUUUGAUUCCUUUACAAGUCGUAGAAGUUGGUAUGUACAGGCAAGUGACAGAGCAGAUCCAGUGUUGUGGUACCAAACCCUCUCCAAACCCCCCUCCCCAAGUGCUCAAAAUAUCUACAAAUACAAGACCCGAGUCUAUCAGAACUCAUAGAAAGUUGUACAGAGCUGAAAAAAGCUCAGCAUUAUGGAAGAGCCAUUAAGGAAGGUGUGUGUAGGCGUGUGUCUGUGUGUGCAGGUCUGUCUGUAUGUGUGUGUACAUAUGAAAGGGGGGUACAACACUCAAACCUCCAUAAAUCCCCCACUCCCCACCCACAUGGAUAUUUUCAAAGUGCACCCUCUACUGGUAUAAUAAUAUGCAGUAUGCAUUACAUAAAUGUAUUCUCUAGCAUGGAAUAUUCCACUAAGUUCUACAGACACAUACAAGGUAAAAUAAGAAGAGUCGACAACGAGCACAUUCUAGUUUUGAGGUCAUAGUUCUGAAUGUAAAGAUACAGUUCAGGCCACUAGGUGACUGUUAUUGAACACUAACAACACUCUCGCUACAGAGGGUGAGAUGACGAGGAGAGCCCACUUAUGAGAAUAAAACACCUCAGCACUGCACUGUUAAAAAAAAAAAAGAAAAAGAAAAAAAAAAAAGCUAAAUAACCACAUUUACGCCGUACUUGUUGUCGGAGUUGGGUUUGGUUGUAAUCCUUGUGACCAGAGGCAGGGACUGCUGGUGUAAACUAUAUAAAAUAAAGAGGGGUCAGUAGUGAAAGAACUCAGUAGAUUUGGUCAGUGUCAGCCUGUUUUACACUCGACAGCCCCAGUGUUUGCAUUCACAAAGUGAGUCUAGCUUCCUAAUCAUGUUCAAUAUAACAUCUAUGUUAUCUAUGUUACCACCAUCACAGAAAAAUAAAGAUCUACUUCAAGUGUCCCAAUGGUACAGAAGAUUAUUAGUCCCAGGCAUAAAAACAUAACAGAUAUUGUGACAAGGAAGUUUGCUUUUUCAGUUUUUGCACUUAAAGAAUAAAGUCUAUUUGUCGAGAAUACAAAGUGUCUCAAAUAAGCUGCAGGUUUAAGACAAAAAAAUGGAAAAAUGAGGUUAACUUGCAACAUGAAUAAGUGUAAAAAAAAGCAACCCAGAGAGGAUCUGUGAGAGACUGCGUGGGCAAAUGGUUCAACGACUCCAGAAUGAUGUUCCUGAGUGUCGGAUUGUUAAGACUUUAAAGGAUUAAGAUAAUUGAAUGAAAUCUGGGGUCUAUAUGCCUUCAAGUAGCACUGCAUUACAAACAGACAUGACUCUGUAGUGGAAUUCACAGCAUGAGCCAGAAAUCACUGAAAAUCACUGUGAAUGAAUACCGUUUUUUAAAACUCCUUAAACUGGUCUCCUUGGUUACAGAAGGCAGUUUAAAAAGGAAGUCAUCCAGCACAAUGGUAACCAUGUCCCUGACAAACUGUUUGGAUACUAGCAUCACAUUUAAAUUAGCAUGUCUUUUCUUUUUUUAGUAAGUUUCAACAUGUUGUAGGUUGUACUUGUGAUUACUACUGUUACUUAUAGGGCUUGACCCAACAUCAAACAAUGAGCUUGCUCAGAUGUAACUUUUUGCAGUGAAAUAUAGUAGGGUUAUACUGUGAAUUUAAAGCCCUGUUUCAUAAAUAUCACAAAAAUUCAUUGUGAACUUUUUUCAUUUGGGGGUAUUACUGCUAAAAGAAGAAAUGUAUUCUUGACAAUUUCCUUUUAUUCUUAAGGUGCAAAAAACAAACAAAACCAUGGUCCAUCCUUUUCACAGCAUAUCUUUCUCCCUAAUGCCUCGAACACUAUUACACCCAGGAAAGUCACGGUAAAAUAUCUUUGGCUGAACUUUAAAAUCACACAGAAUCCAGUUGCAUUUGCUCCUCUGAAAGUCAACCACUCAGCAGCUUUCGUACCAUUUGUGUUUUGACUCAGACGCUGAAUUACAUGUGAGUUUAAAAUGUCACCAGGGAUCAAUAGCGACAGUAUUCGUUGACUUUGGUUGACAGUAAAGCUAAAUCUUCACAGACACUUGAGUUUGUAACCCAACCUCUAACUGAGUACUCCGGUGAAACAGGCUGCAUGCACUCAGUGGAUUUAUGGUGUCUUUGUGCAAUUUUGUGAAACAUGUUUGAAUUAUUUAUAAUUUGAACAUCAGUGGGUGCAGCAUGUGCCACUCCUCUUGCACUUCUACCCUUAAAUAUUGAAUAAAUGAUGAGAAAGGUUGAUGAGUGUGCAGCAGGGUUAUGGACUAAAGAGCACAUUGACAUUAGAAACACUCAAAGCCUUCACUUGCUCUGCCCAAUGAGCCGAUCAUCAACCCAACACAAAUAAUAAAACCCACAGACAAACAGCAAAAAUCCUACAGCAAUAAAUAAAUACAGUAGCUUCGACCAGCAAGCAGCAAAAUACAAUCUUCAUAAGUCUGCAUUAAAGGGGAAUCUGGGCAGAGUCAUGUUACUCUGUUAGCGAAAAGUUUCUUCACUUCUUCUUCCUUCAUUCUGAUUGGUUUGUUUUGAGUUUUGAGACAAAGAAAAUGAACUUUCUAACAUCAACAUUACGUUCCUGAGUCUUUAUUAAACAUCUGCACUGUUUAAGAAAUAAAGUGCUAAAAAUGAACAAGGACUGCUACAAGUGGGAACUGUUUAAAGGACUAUUGCACUACAACAGGGUUUCCCUCUUCUGGUAUGAGUCGUAAUGUGUGCUGUCCAAGUAAAGGGGCUGUCUGUGUAAUUUUCUAAUGAGGAAGACAGUUUGAAGUAAUAGAUUUUAGUUUCCCUUUUCCUUAUCCAGGCAACUCAUGAUGAAAAUCUACAACCACAGUUCCAAAAAAAGGAGAGGAUGCUAAGUUAAAUACUGAUAAACACACAUUUUAACAGUUUGCAAAUGAUUUAAUUUGAACUGAAAAUUGUGCAAAGACAUAUCAAAUGUUGCCACUGAACUAUUUUGUU
Non-coding RNA from Xyrichtys novacula (pearly razorfish), 3934 nucleotides. The record is from the annotation of a GenBank genome assembly. NCBI's taxonomy places the organism in Eukaryota, Metazoa, Chordata, Actinopteri, Labriformes, Labridae.